This 460-nucleotide ribosomal RNA is filed under the name uncultured bacterium. RNAcentral describes it as "partial 16S ribosomal RNA". It matches the Rfam family "Bacterial small subunit ribosomal RNA", at positions 338 to 795 of the family's 1533-position model. The record is from RNAcentral.
CCUACGGGGGGCAGCAGUGAGGAAUAUUGGUCAAUGGUCGGGAGCCUGAACCAGCCAAGCCGCGUGAGGGAGGAAGGUACUGUGUAUCGUAAACCUCUUUUGUCAGGGAAUAAAGACUGGGACGCGUCCCCGGAUGAGUGUACCAUAUGAAUAAGCAUCGGCUAACUCCGUGCCAGCAGCCGCGGUAAUACGGAGGGUGCGAGCGUUAUCCGGAUUUAUUGGGUUUAAAGGGUGCGUAGGUGGCUUGUUAAGUCAGAUGUGAAAGGUUGCGGCUCAACCGCCGGACGGCCGUUGAAACUGGCAGUCGAGAGUAGGGGAGAGGUAGGCGGAAUGCGUGGGGUAGCGGUGAAAUGCAUAGAUAUCACGAAGAACUCCGAUUGCGAAGGCAGCUUACUGGCCCGAAACUGACGCUGAGGCUCGAAAGCGUGGGUAUCGAACAGGAUUAGAUACCCUGGUAGUC